This 58-nucleotide ribosomal RNA is filed under the name Pleosporaceae sp. Its description in RNAcentral is "partial 28S ribosomal RNA". Lineage: Eukaryota; Fungi; Ascomycota; Dothideomycetes; Pleosporales; Pleosporaceae. The record is from RNAcentral.
CUUUGACCUCGGAUCACGUAGGAAUACCCGCUGAACUUAAGCAUAUCAAUAAGCGGAG